Molecule: long non-coding RNA, 452 nt
Filed under: Elaeis guineensis (African oil palm)
Lineage: Eukaryota; Viridiplantae; Streptophyta; Magnoliopsida; Arecales; Arecaceae
Description: long non-coding RNA (EGUI_LNC033817)
Source: RNAcentral
GAUUAAUUACCUAUAUACAAUUUAGUUGCAUAGAACUUCUUGUUUGAAAUUGAUUGUGCAUAUUCAUCUCAAAUCAACUAAAGGGCAACACCCAUUAACAAGAUAAGGUGAAAAUUUUAUCACCCCUCCUUAGCCCAAAAAUCACGAACCAGCAUCCCGCAUUAACUCAAGCUUAAUUAAAAUUAAGUAGACGUUGGCCCCUAGGAUCAAUUGAGUUCAGUUUGAGUAUUAUGGUGAAGUCAAGUGCAAAGUAAGUUUAAACUCACUCCUGAAAUUAGUGUCUAAGAUAAGAGAUUACAAAGGCUAAGCCUAAGUAGACUCAUGGUUAUUUAAUUGGUUCCGUUAGUUUAUCUGGCCAAUCUAAUUGGUAUCUAAGGCAAGUAACAGGGGGAUCCCCAUGACCCCACCUCUUACCUGGCUAGUUGAAGAAAGUGAGAACAGACCCAACUUGC